This 323-nucleotide long non-coding RNA is filed under the name Panax ginseng (ginseng). RNAcentral's name for it is "long non-coding RNA (PGIN_LNC015448)". Lineage: Eukaryota; Viridiplantae; Streptophyta; Magnoliopsida; Apiales; Araliaceae. The record is from RNAcentral.
UCACCUAGUGCUGACUGUAGGAUGAUGCUUAUAAACCGCCCGUAGAGCAUCUUCCAGAGCUCUUUGACUUCUUCAAAAUUAGUAUCCAUUUGCCAAUCCAGUCGAUGAGUAGGGCUCUAUAGUUGAGUUGAAUCCCACAACUGAUUGCUGUCAUGAUCUUAAGUUGCACUUCGUUCACAAAGUCAUGGCCAGAUCUCUUGCAUCAUAUGCAUUUUUCAACAAUGUCAGCCAAAACUCAUACCUUUGCGGAAACUCUUUCUUUUUGUACCCCUUGACAGUCGGGAAUUUCUUAUGAUACAUCUUCUUCAGUCCUUCAUGAAAAU